Lepisosteus oculatus (spotted gar) is the source of this 671-nucleotide non-coding RNA. NCBI's taxonomy places the organism in Eukaryota, Metazoa, Chordata, Actinopteri, Semionotiformes, Lepisosteidae. The record is from RefSeq and is a predicted model, not a curated record.
CUCCCGGAGAGUCUUUACCGUGAGUGUUGAGCCCUUGUAACAGUGCACAGCUGUCAUUCAGGAGCCGAGCCCGCCCCCAGAGUGACCUUCCUCAGCGGACACGCCCCGUCCACCUGUUCCACAGGUGCGCCCGGCAAGAUGGCGGCGGGGCGAGUUUCUGCGGCGUGAGGACGCCGAAAUGAGUGUCCUGUCUGUUUGAGCGUGCUCUCGAAGUUUCAAAAGUCUGCAUUCAGCGUUCUUAUACUACCUUUCAUUUGACAAAGGGAUUUCAAAAACCGGCCUCCAGUUAGAAAGUUUUUUUUCCGAGUUCUGCGGCUCCUGAUCCUCUGCGCUCCGUCGAUCUCCUUUCCGAAACACUCCAGCAACUCGGCGUGCUUUGGCAGGUUCUUCAUGACAAUGUGUGAUUUUCCUUGAAUUGUAUUUUGAUACCCGUGGCUUGAUCUGUAGUGUACCCUUUGUAUACCGAUUUAUGUUAUUGUUAACCUGCAUGUUUCCUGUUGACUGCUGCUAUUGUAUGUGCUGCGGCUCCUGGUUCUCUGUGCUCCGACGAUCUCCAGCAAUUUAUUCUCGACAAUGUGUGCUUUUUCUUACAUUUGAUUGUUACCAGUGGCUUGAUCUGUAAUGUCCCGAUUCAGUGCUGUAUUUUAUUCUUGACCUGCAUGUUUUCUGUU